GCCGCUGAGUUUAAGCAUAUCAAUAAGCGGAGGAAAAGAAACUUACCAGGAUUCCCCUAGUAACGGCGAGCGAACCAGGAAUAGCCCAGCUUGAGAAUCGGGCACCCUCGGCAUUCGAAUUGUAGUCUGGAGUAGCAUCCUCGGCGGCUGACCGGGCCCAAGUCCCUUGGAAUAGGACACCAGAGAGGGUGAGAACCCCGUCAUGCCCGGACUUUGUCGUACCACGAGGCGCCAUCUACGAGUCGGGCACCCUCGGCAUUCGAAUGCAGCCCAAAUCGGAUGGUAAAUUUCGUCCAAGGCUAAAUACGGGCGAGAGACCGAUAGCGAACAAGUACCGCGAGGGAAAGAUGAAAACGACUUUGAAAAGAGAGUCAAAGAGUGCUUGAAAUUUUCAGGAGGGAAGCGGAUGGGGGCCAGCGAUGCGCCCCGGUCAGAUGUGUAACGGCUAAAAGCCAGUCCACCGAUAGGCUCGGGGUGCGGACCGACGCGGAUUAUAGCGGCGGCCCAAGCCCAGGCUUUUGAUACGCCUGCAAAGAUGUUGUCGCAGCAAUUAUGGGCUGCAGAGCGCGCCGUCACAGUGUGCUUCUGCACCUGCGCGCUCCGAGCGUCGGCCAGCGGGCUCUUGAUAGGCAUCAUAUUACACAUGU
RNAcentral lists this non-coding RNA (647 nucleotides) under Ricinus communis (castor bean). RNAcentral describes it as "Eukaryotic large subunit ribosomal RNA". It matches the Rfam family "Eukaryotic large subunit ribosomal RNA", at positions 24 to 664 of the family's 3401-position model. Lineage: Eukaryota; Viridiplantae; Streptophyta; Magnoliopsida; Malpighiales; Euphorbiaceae. The record is from Rfam by way of RNAcentral.